UACGUAGGGUCCAAGCGUUGUCCGGAUUUAUUGGGCGUAAAGAGCUCGUAGGCGGUUCGGUAAGUCGGAUGUGAAAACUCAGGGCUCAACCCGGAGACGCCAUCCGAUACUGCUGUGACUCGAGUCUGGUAGGGGAACACGGAAUACCUGGUGUAGCGGUGAAAUGCGCAGAUAUCAGGUGGAACACCGAUGGCGAAGGCAGUGUUCUGGGCCAGUACUGACGCUGAGGAGCGAAAGCGUGGGGAGCAAACAGGAUUAGAUUACCCGUGUAGUCC
RNAcentral lists this ribosomal RNA (275 nucleotides) under uncultured prokaryote. RNAcentral's name for it is "partial 16S ribosomal RNA". It matches the Rfam family "Bacterial small subunit ribosomal RNA", at positions 524 to 796 of the family's 1533-position model. The record is from RNAcentral.